AGAAGGGAGCUUGCUCCCGGAUGUUAGCGGCGGACGGGUGAGUAACACGUGGGUAACCUGCCUGUAAGACUGGGAUAACUCCGGGAAACCGGAGCUAAUACCGGAUAGUUCCUUGAACCGCAUGGUUCAAGGAUGAAAGACGGUUUCGGCUGUCACUUACAGAUGGACCCGCGGCGCAUUAGCUAGUUGGUGGGGUAAUGGCUCACCAAGGCGACGAUGCGUAGCCGACCUGAGAGGGUGAUCGGCCACACUGGGACUGAGACACGGCCCAGACUCCUACGGGAGGCAGCAGUAGGGAAUCUUCCGCAAUGGACGAAAGUCUGACGGAGCAACGCCGCGUGAGUGAUGAAGGUUUUCGGAUCGUAAAGCUCUGUUGUUAGGGAAGAACAAGUGCGAGAGUAACUGCUCGCACCUUGACGGUACCUAACCAGAAAGCCACGGCUAACUACGUGCCA
This 455-nucleotide ribosomal RNA is filed under the name Bacillus sp. CUA-783. Its description in RNAcentral is "bacterial SSU rRNA". It matches the Rfam family "Bacterial small subunit ribosomal RNA", at positions 70 to 510 of the family's 1533-position model. The record is from RNAcentral. Lineage: Bacteria; Bacillati; Bacillota; Bacilli; Caryophanales; Bacillaceae.